Molecule: ribosomal RNA, 460 nt
Filed under: uncultured bacterium
Lineage: Bacteria
Description: partial 16S ribosomal RNA
Rfam family: Bacterial small subunit ribosomal RNA
Source: RNAcentral
CCUACGGGAGGCAGCAGUGAGGAAUAUUGGUCAAUGGACGAGAGUCUGAACCAGCCAAGUAGCGUGAAGGAUGACUGCCCUAUGGGUUGUAAACUUCUUUUAUAUGGGAAUAAAAUGUUCCACGUGUGGGAUUUUGUAUGUACCAUAUGAAUAAGGAUCGGCUAACUCCGUGCCAGCAGCCGCGGUAAUACGGAGGAUCCGAGCGUUAUCCGGAUUUAUUGGGUGUAAAGGGAGCGUAGGUGGAUUGUUAAGUCAGUUGUGAAAGUUUGCGGCGCAACCGUAAAAUUGCAGUUGAAACUGGCAGUCUUGAGUACAGUAGAGGUGGGCGGAAUUCGUGGUGUAGCGGUGAAAUGCGUAGAUAUCACGAAGAACUCCGAUUGCGAAGGCAGUUCACUGGACUGCAACUGACACUGAGGCUCGAAAGUGUGGGUAUCAAACAGGAUUAGAUACCCUGGUAGUC